CUCUCUCUCUCUCUCUCUCUCUCUCUCUCUCUCUCUCUCUCUCUCUCCCCUCCCCCCUUCCUCUCGCUUUCUCUAUCUCUCUCUCCCGCUGCUUCCUUGGUUUAGUGUUGCCUGUGUUGUGCCCGAAAGCAGUGUUGUAGAUUUUAUUGCGCUGUGCCCGUAAUCAUUGAGUGACAGCCCUGUGCGUGUGUUGCCGCGUCAGGAAGGGAGUGUUGCGUCUCCAGGAGGGUCUUCCCCUUCCGAGUGGCGUCUGCGCUUGCUUCCUUCGUCAGGCACCUCCCGCCUCACUCCUUGCUUCCUCCCGUCUCCCAGAGUCUACACACCUGCCUUCUUGAGGUGUGUGCGUGCGUGUGUGCGCGGGUGGAGGUAGAGGAGGGAGGGGCGCAAGGGUGGGCGGCGGUCCCUGCCUCACCUGAGUUCUGGGAGUGGAGGAAAUUGAAAGAGUGUCACUGGUCACCGAACCCUUCUGUCCGCCAUCACGGUUCUUGUAAACAACGCCAAGAGACCGCUAGGGCAAACACUUUUCUUCUAUCUUCACUAUCACUGUCCUGUUACUAUUUUACUGUGCAUUAUUAAAUUCAGUGUAUUUUUUACAAGUACUGUGAUGUUUUCUUUGGUCUUAAUCGUCUAGUUCUCUUUCUUGUAAUAUAUAGUAACUCAUGUCUACGCUUCCGUCUCCAGUAACACCAUUUUGUUACUAAUUUCCUAUGCGUCGGUGACCAUUUACUUCUGCUACUUACUUCUUAUGUACAUGUUAUGUAUAAACUUCUAGGCAAAGAAUAAAUGAAAUGUUAAAGAGACCGCCGGGUUAAAGCAUUCUUCCUUGUUUCCUAUCGAGAAGUCUGUCUUUGAAAUUACGGCAUGAAAAUAAAUUAUGCUUCGCCUACUUGAGAA
This is a long non-coding RNA of Scylla paramamosain (green mud crab), 894 nucleotides long. RefSeq lists it as uncharacterized. The record is from RefSeq and is a predicted model, not a curated record. Lineage: Eukaryota; Metazoa; Arthropoda; Malacostraca; Decapoda; Portunidae. The transcript has 4 exons.